This 68-nucleotide transfer RNA is filed under the name Anentome sp. YY-2021. RNAcentral's name for it is "tRNA-Lys". The record is from RNAcentral. Lineage: Eukaryota; Metazoa; Mollusca; Gastropoda; Neogastropoda; Nassariidae.
UCUUGGAUGACUGAGAAAAAGUAUUAGAUUUUUAAUCUAAAAACGGCAUAUGUCUAUGCCUCUAAGAG